UACAGUUUUCUGCGUUGUGUAAAAUCCACGCUUGGAUGUGAUUAAGUGAAAAGCUGCUCUAUGAGCUAUUUUUCAACGCAAUUGGUUUAAAUACAAUUGCUCUCAGAAAUCUCCAAACAUAAUUUGGCUCAGUAGAAUGAAUUACAUCUAAUUAUCUGCUGAAUUGAUAUCCCAUGUGGUGAGAUCUAGUUCGAUAUCGCUUUUAAGUGUUUUUAUUUAUCUUUGAAGAUACGCUAAGUUGCUUAUCCAUACUGUGAUCCUUUGGUAUGUAUACAUUGUAACUGCAAUUCACAUGAGUACACUGCAGAUAAACAAAACGAUAUAUUUAUGAAAUGCUUUCUACAUUGUUUAGAUUAUAAAUAU
Molecule: long non-coding RNA, 363 nt
Organism: Pseudophryne corroboree (corroboree frog)
Lineage: Eukaryota; Metazoa; Chordata; Amphibia; Anura; Myobatrachidae
Exons: 3
Source: RefSeq, a predicted model, not a curated record